This 390-nucleotide ribosomal RNA is filed under the name uncultured bacterium. Its description in RNAcentral is "bacterial SSU rRNA". It matches the Rfam family "Bacterial small subunit ribosomal RNA", at positions 28 to 417 of the family's 1533-position model. The record is from RNAcentral.
GACGAACGCUGGCGGCGUGCUUAACACAUGCAAGUCGAGCGGUAAGGCCCUUUCGGGGGUACGACGAGCGGCGAACGGGUGAGUAACACGCGGGUGACCUGCCCUCAGCUCUGGGAUAAGCCUGGGAAACCGGGUCUAAUACCGGAUAUGACUCCAUGACGCAUGUUGUGGGGUGGAAAGCCUUGUGCGGCUGAGGAUGGGCCCGCGGCCUAUCAGCUUGUUGGUGGGGUGAUGGCCUACCAAGGCGACGACGGGUAGCCGGCCUGAGAGGGCGGACCGGCCACACUGGGACUGAGACACGGCCCAGACUCCUACGGGAGGCAGCAGUGGGGAAUCUUGCGCAAUGGGCGAAAGCCUGACGCAGCGACGCCGCGUGAGGGAUGACGGCCU